UACGUAGGGGGCGAGCGUUGUCCGGAUUUAUUGGGCGUAAAGAGCUCGUAGGCGGUUUGUCGCGUCUGCUGUGAAAUCCCGAGGCUCAACCUCGGGUCUGCAGUGGGUACGGGCAGACUGGAGUGCGGUAGGGGAGAAUGGAAUUCCUGGUGUAGCGGUGGAAUGCGCAGAUAUCAGGAGGAACACCGAUGGCGAAGGCAGUUCUCUGGGCCGUAACUGACGCUGAGGAGCGAAAGCGUGGGGAGCGAACAGG
Molecule: ribosomal RNA, 253 nt
Filed under: uncultured bacterium
Lineage: Bacteria
Description: partial 16S ribosomal RNA
Rfam family: Bacterial small subunit ribosomal RNA
Source: RNAcentral